This 244-nucleotide ribosomal RNA is filed under the name Pseudomonas mandelii. Its description in RNAcentral is "partial 16S ribosomal RNA". It matches the Rfam family "Bacterial small subunit ribosomal RNA", at positions 1291 to 1533 of the family's 1533-position model. The record is from RNAcentral. Lineage: Bacteria; Pseudomonadati; Pseudomonadota; Gammaproteobacteria; Pseudomonadales; Pseudomonadaceae.
GUCCGGAUCGCAGUCUGCAACUCGACUGCGUGAAGUCGGAAUCGCUAGUAAUCGCGAAUCAGAAUGUCGCGGUGAAUACGUUCCCGGGCCUUGUACACACCGCCCGUCACACCAUGGGAGUGGGUUGCACCAGAAGUAGCUAGUCUAACCUUCGGGAGGACGGUUACCACGGUGUGAUUCAUGACUGGGGUGAAGUCGUAACAAGGUAGCCGUAGGGGAACCUGCGGCUGGAUCACCUCCUUAA